RNAcentral lists this ribosomal RNA (254 nucleotides) under Tellurimicrobium sp. Its description in RNAcentral is "partial 16S ribosomal RNA". It matches the Rfam family "Bacterial small subunit ribosomal RNA", at positions 524 to 776 of the family's 1533-position model. The record is from RNAcentral. RNAcentral also lists the same sequence under 1 other name. Lineage: Bacteria; Pseudomonadati; Acidobacteriota; Blastocatellia; Blastocatellales; Blastocatellaceae.
UACGUAGGGACCAAGCGUUGUUCGGAUUUACUGGGCGUAAAGGGCGCGUAGGCGGCAAUUCAAGUCAUCUGUGAAAUCUCCGGGCUUAACCCGGAACGGUCAGAUGAUACUGCUUUGCUAGAGUGCGGAAGGGGCAAUCGGAAUUCUCGGUGUAGCGGUGAAAUGCGUAGAUAUCGAGAGGAACACCUGAGGUGAAGACGGGUUGCUGGGCCGACACUGACGCUGAGUGCGCGAAAGCCAGGGGAGCAAACGGG